RNAcentral lists this small nuclear RNA (175 nucleotides) under Peromyscus maniculatus bairdii (prairie deer mouse). RNAcentral describes it as "U1 spliceosomal RNA (ENSPEMG00000002105.2)". It matches the Rfam family "U1 spliceosomal RNA". Rfam says of the family: U1 is a small nuclear RNA (snRNA) component of the spliceosome (involved in pre-mRNA splicing). Lineage: Eukaryota; Metazoa; Chordata; Mammalia; Rodentia; Cricetidae. The record is from Rfam by way of RNAcentral.
AUGCUUACCUGGCAGGGGAGAUACCAUGAUCACGAAGUUGGUUUUCCCAGGGCGAGGCACUGGAUAUGCUCGCCCAUCACACUCCAGAUGUGCUGACCCUUGCGAUUUCCCCAAAUGCGGAAAACUCGACUGCAUAAUUUGUGGUAGUGGGGGACUGCGUUCGCGCUCUCCCCUG